CAGACGGGUGAGUAACGCGUGGGAACGUACCCUUUACUACGGAAUAACGCAGGGAAACUUGUGCUAAUACCGUAUGUGCCCUUCGGGGGAAAGAUUUAUCGGUAAGGGAUCGGCCCGCGUUGGAUUAGCUAGUUGGUGGGGUAAAGGCCUACCAAGGCGACGAUCCAUAGCUGGUCUGAGAGGAUGAUCAGCCACAUUGGGACUGAGACACGGC
Molecule: ribosomal RNA, 214 nt
Filed under: Rhizobium etli
Lineage: Bacteria; Pseudomonadati; Pseudomonadota; Alphaproteobacteria; Hyphomicrobiales; Rhizobiaceae
Description: partial 16S ribosomal RNA
Rfam family: Bacterial small subunit ribosomal RNA
Source: RNAcentral